Molecule: non-coding RNA, 904 nt
Organism: Dictyocaulus viviparus (bovine lungworm)
Lineage: Eukaryota; Metazoa; Nematoda; Chromadorea; Rhabditida; Metastrongylidae
Source: Rfam
UUAUCGACUCCGAAAGAAUGAAGGGCUUCGUUGGCUUUUGGAGUGGUAGCAAAUCUCACCUGGGUAGUAUCACGUGGGCACCUCUGCGCCGCUCAACCCCAUUUUUCAUCAAUUUUCUACUUAUUCCAUAUCGAGAAAACUCGAUUUCAGUUUUUUAUCACGUGUGUUAAAAGCGGUAACCUGAUGGCCAUUCGACUCUCGCCGAAAACAGUUUCAGUCAAAGAGUUGUUGGUACUGGACUUCGACGGUACAUUCGUCAAAGUGUAAUUUAGGUGUUUUAAGUGUUGUUCAGAAAGGAUGAAAACUUGUACUAGAGUUAAAUGCUAGAAACUUGCUUUCAUCUAUUCAUCUGAAUCUAUAUGGUUUUUAGUAAGAGGUUUUAGAAAAGUUACUACAUAGAUAACUUGCUUGUAGCUUAUUAAGUGUCCAUAGUGACGUUGCUUUAUGAUUCUUUGAUGUCACCUCUUCUUAUCAUUGCAAAGCAAAAUUAGCUAGGUGUUGGAUUGACUACUCAACGGAUUUUGACCGAUAUGAUACUAGUCCUUUGCUCGCUUUGCCUUACUGUUAAUUAAUUGUUAAUCUCGAUAGCAAUGCUGCUUAGUACGGAGCAAACAUCAAAUUUAGACACUUGGUUCGUAGACUUUAGGGAUCGGCUAAUAGUUUGAAGCUGACGUUUGAAAGAUAAUAAGUGAACGCCACUAAGCUAGAAUCCCACAUAGUAAAGGAAACAAUAUCGUUGUUUCCCAGUAUCUAGAGAUCUCCCAGCAUUAGUAUUAAUGAAAUAUCUACGAAAUGGUUUGAUAUGAAAAAUGUACCAAUUCGCAUUUGCGCCAUUCCAUUGGCUGGAUCAGAAGUAGCUGUUGGGCACUGCAGUGGCGUGUAGUUAAUAGUAAUAAUAAGCUGC